Molecule: ribosomal RNA, 515 nt
Filed under: uncultured bacterium
Lineage: Bacteria
Description: bacterial SSU rRNA
Rfam family: Bacterial small subunit ribosomal RNA
Source: RNAcentral
GAUCAUGGCUCAGGAUGAACGCUAGCUACAGGCUUAACACAUGCAAGUCGUGGGGCAGCAUGGUCAAAGCUUGCUUUGACUGAUGGCGACCGGCGCACGGGUGAGUAACGCGUAUCCAACCUGGCCCAUAGUAGGGAAUAGCCCGGCGAAAGUCGGAUUAAUGCCCUAUGUUGUCCGAUGAAGACAUCUGAGUUGGACUAAAGAUUCAUCGCUAUGGGAUGGGGAUGCGUCCGAUUAGCUUGCCGGCGGGGCAACGGCCCACCGGGGCGACGAUCGGUAGGGGUUCUGAGAGGAAGGUCCCCCACACUGGUACUGAGACACGGACCAGACUCCUACGGGAGGCAGCAGUGAGGAAUAUUGGUCAAUGGGCGGGAGCCUGAACCAGCCAAAGUAGCGUGCAGGACGACGGCCCUACGGGUUGUAAACUGCUUUUAUACGGGGAUAAAGUGCGCCACGUGUGGUGUUUUGUAGGUACCGUAUGAAUAAGGACCGGCUAAUUCCGUGCCAGCCGCCGC